AAUAUAUCACACAGCCUAAAAUACCAUUUUUUUUCUCCCAGCCACAUCUCUCCCCUGAUUCCUCUAUGUCUCACACCACAGCGCCGCCGCCGCCGCCAACUCCGAUUCCGGGAGGCUCCGGUGGACUCCCAACCCACUGCUCACGGAUCUCCCCGACUCCCUCUAUGUUCUCCCCCGAUACUUCGCACCCGUCCACCGCGCCCCUGCACGCACGCCACGCAACAACCCUAGUCGCCAGGCGUCGCCGGCGUGGCUCCGGUAGCUCUGGUUUAUCAGCCAACUACCACUGCAUCACCUCACGCGCAGCAGCCGGCUCGGGAUUGACAUUGAUUUAUCUACUACACUAGUGCAUUGCAAUAAAGAGAAAUCCAUGAAUAUGCAGAAGAAGCCUUGGGAAUUAUUUAAGUCAGUUGUUUAUAGCAUGAUGUUUCCAAAUAGUAGAAGGAUGCAUGAUUGGUCAGCACACAAACUCUUGGCCAGGUUACAGAGACUCAAUUGUUCCAAGUUGAUGUUGUUGGCGCUAAAACAUAGAAGACCACUAGUGCCAAGGUGGAUUUACUAGGAGAUUGCAAUAUUCGGUGAUGCAUGGUUCAGAUGUUGAUUGCAAGGUCAAGAAUAGGGGUGCUACUAGAUAGUUUCACAUUGUGUCUUUUUCUAGUGCCAAUGUUUCAAUCAUUAUGUUUCUGAUAUUUUCUGUGUCAAUGUUUCGAUUAUUAUGUUUCAGAAUGGCUGAGACGUUGGUUGCAAGGUCAAGAAUGGGAUUAGUACUAGUUUCAAAUCUUGUAAUCUUUGUAUCGUGUCCUUUGUAAUACAAACAAGUUGAUUUAAUACAUGAGAAAUUUCUUUUUAUUA
This is a long non-coding RNA of Triticum dicoccoides, 852 nucleotides long. RefSeq lists it as uncharacterized. The transcript has 5 exons. Lineage: Eukaryota; Viridiplantae; Streptophyta; Magnoliopsida; Poales; Poaceae. The record is from RefSeq and is a predicted model, not a curated record.